AGGGUUUGAUCAUGGCUCAGGACGAACGCUGGCGGUGCGCCUUAUGCAUGCAAGUUGAGCGAAGCUUUUCAGUAGUUUACUACAGAAAAUGACUGAGCGGCGAACGGGUGAGUAACGCGUGAGCAAUCUACCUUAGUUACUGGGAUAGCCCGAGGAAACUCGGAUUAAUACCGGAUAAUCUUAUUACAUCACAUGAUAUUUUAAGUAAAGGUCAGCCGAACUAAGAUGAGCUCGCGUUCUAUCAGCUAGUUGGUGGGGUAAAAGCCUACCAAGGCUACGACGGAUAGCUGGUCUGAGAGGACGAUCAGCCACACUGGGACUGAGACACGGCCCAGACUCCUACGGGAGGCUGCAGCAGGGAAUAUUGUGCAAUGAGCGAAAGCUUGACACAGCGACACCGCGUGUGGGAUGACGGUUCUAGGAUUGUAAACCACUUUCAGGAGGGAAGAAAAUGACGGUACCUCCACAAGAAGCCCCGGCCAACUACGUGCCAGCCGCCGCGGUAAUAC
Molecule: ribosomal RNA, 509 nt
Filed under: uncultured bacterium
Lineage: Bacteria
Description: bacterial SSU rRNA
Rfam family: Bacterial small subunit ribosomal RNA
Source: RNAcentral